RNAcentral lists this ribosomal RNA (489 nucleotides) under uncultured bacterium. RNAcentral's name for it is "bacterial SSU rRNA". It matches the Rfam family "Bacterial small subunit ribosomal RNA", at positions 501 to 987 of the family's 1533-position model. The record is from RNAcentral.
CUACGUGCCAGCAGCCGCGGUAAUACGGAAGGUCCGGGCGUUAUCCGGAUUUAUUGGGUUUAAAGGGAGCGUAGGCCGUGGAUUAAGCGUGUUGUGAAAUGCAGGUGCUCAACGUCUGCACUGCAGCGCGAACUGGUCCACUUGAGUGUGCACAACGCAGGCGGAAUUCGUCGUGUAGCGGUGAAAUGCUUAGAUAUGACGAAGAACUCCGAUUGCGAAGGCAGCUUGCGGGAGCACAACUGACGCUGAAGCUCGAAAGUGCGGGUAUCGAACAGGAUUAGAUACCCUGGUAGUCCAUGCCGUAAACGUUGGGCACUAGGUGUGGGGGACAUUCCACGUUUUCCGCGCCGUAGCUAACGCAUUAAGUGCCCCGCCUGGGGAGUACGGCCGCAAGGCUAAAACUCAAAGAAAUUGACGGGGGCCCGCACAAGCGGCGGAGCAUGCGGAUUAAUUCGAUGCAACGCGAAGAACCUUACCAAGGCUUGACAU